UUUUGUCCUAACAGGUGGCAAUGGUGGACUUGGUGGCUUGUAAGGCGGUGCUGGAGUUGUUGGUGGCUUAACUGGAGGUGUAGGAACUGGGGGCUUAUAUGGGGGAGUUGGUGCUUUAGUUGGCGGUGCUGGUGCUGGAGUUGGUGCUUUGGUUGGGGGUGUUGGGGGCAUAUAUGGGGGAGUAGGGGCCUUGACUGGAGGUGCCGGUGCGGGAGUAGGGGGUUUAUAUGGGGGAGUAGGAGCCUUGGUUGGUGGUGCUGGUGCUGGGGGCUUAAAUGGUGGAGUUGGAGCCUUGGUUGGUGGUGCAGGAGCUGGGGGCUUAUAUGGUGGAGUAGGAGCCUUGGUUGGUGGUGCAGGAGCUGGGGGCUUAUAUGGUGGAGUAGGAGCCUUGGUUGGUGGUGCAGGAGCUGGGGGUUUAUAUGGUGGAGUAGGAGCCUUGGUUGGUGGUUUAUAUGGUGGAGUGGGGGCCUUGGUAGGGGGUUUAUAUGGAGUGGGGCCCUUAGUUGGGGGUGCUGGAGUUGGAGCCUUGUACGGCGGCACCGGAGUGGUGGGAGGCUUAACGGGUGGAGCAGGGAUAGGUGCCUUCACUGGAACAGGAGCAGCAUAUUUAAUCUGAACAGUGAUAUGCAACAAAUUUAGCAAAGUUCCAUUUACAGACUAUGGUCUUAUGCACCACAAUGGCUAAUAGCAUUCAGUAUGAAAAAAUACAAGAAAUACAUUAUCCAAAAAGAAAAAACAUGAAUCAGAUUGUUUCAAAAGAACCAAGUUUAAGAUUGUUACAACCUAGACAAGACAAAACAGUAAAAUAAAUGUUUGAAAAAUCACC
RNAcentral lists this long non-coding RNA (826 nucleotides) under Gossypium barbadense (sea-island cotton). Its description in RNAcentral is "long non-coding RNA (GBAR_LNC018185)". The record is from RNAcentral. Lineage: Eukaryota; Viridiplantae; Streptophyta; Magnoliopsida; Malvales; Malvaceae.